This 433-nucleotide ribosomal RNA is filed under the name uncultured bacterium. RNAcentral describes it as "partial 16S ribosomal RNA". It matches the Rfam family "Bacterial small subunit ribosomal RNA", at positions 29 to 507 of the family's 1533-position model. The record is from RNAcentral.
AGCGAACGCUGGCGGCAGGCCUAACACAUGCAGGUCGAACGAACUCUUCGGAGUUAGUGGCGGACGGGUGAGUAACACGUGGGAACGUGCCUUUUGGCUCGGAAUAACUCAGGGAAACUUGUGCUAAUACCGAAUGUGCCCUUCGGGGGAAAGAUUUAUCGCCAUUAGAGCGGCCCGCGUCUGAUUAGCUAGUUGGUGAGGUAACGGCUCACCAAGGCGACGAUCAGUAGCUGGUCUGAGAGGAUGACCAGCCACACUGGGACUGAGACACGGCCCAGACUCCUACGGGAGGCAGCAGUGGGGAAUCUUGCGCAAUGGGCGAAAGCCUGACGCAGCCAUGCCGCGUGAAUGAUGAAGGUCUUAGGAUUGUAAAAUUCUUUCACCGGGGACGAUAAUGACGGUACUCGGAGAAGAAGCCCCGGCUAACUUCGUG